Molecule: ribosomal RNA, 497 nt
Filed under: uncultured bacterium
Lineage: Bacteria
Description: partial 16S ribosomal RNA
Rfam family: Bacterial small subunit ribosomal RNA
Source: RNAcentral
GAUGAACGCUGGCGGCGUGCCUAAUACAUGCAAGUCGAGCGAACAGACGAGGAGCUUGCUUCUCUGACGUUAGCGGCGGACGGGUGAGUAACACGUGGAUAACCUACCUAUAAGACUGGGAUAACCUCGGGAAACCGGAGCUAAUACCGGAUAAUAUAUUGAACCGCAUGGUUCAAUAGUGAAAGACGGUUUUGCUGUUACUUAUAGAUGGAUCCGCGCCGCAUUAGCUAGUUGGUAAGGUAACGGCUUAACAAGGCAACGAUGCGUAACCGACCUGAGAGGGUGAUCGGCCACACUGGAACUGAGACGCGGUCCAGACUCCUACGAGAGGCAGCAGUAGCAGAUCUUCCCCAAUGGGCGAAGGCCUGACGGAGCCACGCCGCGUGAGUGAUGAAGGUCUUCGGAUCGUGAGACUCUGUUAUUAGGGAAGAACAAAUGUGUAAGUAACUAUGCACAUCUUGACGGUACCAUAUCAGAAAGCCACGGCUAACUACGUG